AGCCCUAGCACAGGUUGUUGCAUGGCUGUCGUCAGCUCGUGUCGUGAGAUGUUCGGUUAAGUCCGCUAACGAGCGCAACCCUCGUCGUAUGUUAUAUGUGUCAUACGAGACUGCCGGUAAAAGGCCGGAGGAAGGUGAGGAUGAUGUCAAGUCAGCAUGACCUUUAUAUCCAGGGCUACACACACGCUACAAUGGUCUGUACAAUGGGUAGCCAAGCCGCGAGGCGGAGCCAAUCCUGAAAGCAGGCCUCAGUUCAGAUUGCAGUCUGCAACUCGACUGCAUGAAGCCGGAGUUGCUAGUAACCGCAGGUCAGCAAUACUGCGGUGAAUACGUUCCCGGGUCUU
This 344-nucleotide ribosomal RNA is filed under the name uncultured Anaerolineaceae bacterium. RNAcentral describes it as "bacterial SSU rRNA". It matches the Rfam family "Bacterial small subunit ribosomal RNA", at positions 1025 to 1382 of the family's 1533-position model. Lineage: Bacteria; Bacillati; Chloroflexota; Anaerolineae; Anaerolineales; Anaerolineaceae. The record is from RNAcentral.